Molecule: long non-coding RNA, 1821 nt
Filed under: Solanum tuberosum (potato)
Lineage: Eukaryota; Viridiplantae; Streptophyta; Magnoliopsida; Solanales; Solanaceae
Description: long non-coding RNA (STUB_LNC000295)
Source: RNAcentral
CUUAGAAUUGAACCUCUGUUGUAUCCAUUUAUUUAGAUCAUCUUCUUUCACCCUAGCAUAGUUCACCCUUUCAAGACUUGGUGUACUCACAGAUAUUCCCUGUUGGACAAACGUCUUCAUUUCAGGGCAGCCAUUAAUACACACUUCUGUGAGAGAUGGAAAUGUAAGAGCAUGCUCUGUCUUAUAGAAAUGCCCCAGCUUAGGCAGAUUCCUAAGCUUCAGCUUUUCCAAUCGGGGAAAUAAGGUCACGAUUCCUUUUGUGAUCACUUCUUCCAUUGAUUGACAGUUUUGUAUGUAUAACACUUGGAGAUUCAGAAGACCUCUGGCCACUGAUGGAGACAUCAAGUUUCUCAAUUUUCCACAAUCUGAUACUCUCAAUGUUUGAAGUUUGAUGAAGUAGUCAGUUGGAAGCUGGUGAGAGCAUAGAGCACUUAUGUUGUUAGGCCCCCGAAUCCGUAGUUCUUCUAGGUUGGGGGCAAGAAACCUGCGAGCUUUUGAAGUAUCAAACUUUUGUUGCAGAUACAGUUGGAGCUAUUGGAACAAAACACUAGGUCAUAAGUGGACAAGCCAAAAGUGUUUACACACAUUUAUUUAUAUAUUUUUAAAAAGCCAUAUAUAUAAAAUUGUAUAUGAUCUCGUUUCAUAUUUUUUUUUCCCCAUUUGGACUGGGUCUAGAGGGGUAAAAAAAGGGAUGAGAUAAUUUUUGAAAUCCACAUGACAUUUUGAAAAAAGGGGUGAGAUAAUUUUCCCUCAAUUCAAUAAAAUAAUUUGGAUUUCACUCAUCUGCAUGUAAAAUUUAUCAUAUAUGCCCCUUUUUUCUAUAAAUAUAAAAAAAUAGAUGAAAAAUGGUCUAAAGUGCCUUUAUUGUUACUUAAUAAAUCAAAAAUGUCAUUUUUCAAAUAAAUAUAUCAUUUAUUUUCCUUUUGAACACAUUAUUUUCUGAAUGAUGUUUUUUUAUUAUUAAAUGUUUAUCCUACUUCAAUUCGGAAAAAAUAAUAUUAAAAAUAUUUCUUAUUUUAUUAUAAAUAUCAAAAUAAAAUUAAUGGUUGAUUUACUAUGAUCUUAUAUAUAAGAAAUAAAGAAAUAAUAGAGUACUUUAAAAGUAAUAUCUUUUAAUAGGAAUAAGAUUUGUUCAAAAAGAAAAGAAAUAAUAUAUUUAUGCGGAAAGAAAUAUUUUUGUUUCAAGUAGUAACAAUAGGAACAUUUCCAGAACAAACUAUCAACGGCAAGAACAUUUUCUGACCAAAGUAUUGAGGGGAAGUAACAUUUUUGGACUAAACUAUAAAUUGAGGGCAUUUUUUUUAUCAUUUCAUGUAACUUAAGGCAUUAUUGCCUUUUUUUCAAAAAAUAAAUUACAAUAUAGCUGCAAAAGAAAUAGUCUAAAAAUUUGUUCUUACUUUUUUCUUCUUUUCCAUAUCUAUUUAUUGUCACACUAAGAAAAUGAAAUAAGAAUAUGAAACUCAAAUAAUGAUAAGUUAAUAGAUCUAUAAGGGAUAUAUUUAAAAUUUAAAUUAAGAAGCAAACCUUUUCAUCAAAAAAAGGAUUUGACCUCUGUUGUAUCGAUUUAUUUAGAUCAUCUACUUUCACCUGAUCAUCACAUUUGAGAAUCGGUGUACUCACAGAUAUUCCCUGUUGGACAAACAUCUUCAUUUCAGGGCAGAGGCAAAUAAUCAGGUACUUGAGAAAUGGAAAUUCAAGAGCAUGCUCUGUCAGAUAGAAAUGCCCCAGCUUAGGCAUAUUCCAAAGCUUCAGCUCUUCCAAUCGGGGAAAUAAGGUCAUGAUUCCUUCUCCUUUUGUGAUCACUUCUUCCAUUGAUUCACA